GACGAACGCUGGCGGCGUGCUUAACACAUGCAAGUCGAACGGAAAGGCCCUGCUUUUGUGGGGUGCUCGAGUGGCGAACGGGUGAGUAACACGUGAGUAACCUGCCCUUGACUUUGGGAUAACUUCAGGAAACUGGGGCUAAUACCGGAUAGGAGCUCCUGCUGCAUGGUGGGGGUUGGAAAGUUUCGGCGGUUGGGGAUGGACUCGCGGCUUAUCAGCUUGUUGGUGGGGUAGUGGCUUACCAAGGCUUUGACGGGUAGCCGGCCUGAGAGGGUGACCGGCCACAUUGGGACUGGGAUACGGCCCGGACUCCUCCGGGAGGCAGCAGUGGGGAAUAUUGCACUAUGGGCGGAAGCCUGAUGCAGCAACGCCGCGUGCGGGAUGACGGCCUUCGGGUUGUAAACCGCUUUCGCCUGUGACGAAGCGUGAGUGACGGUAAUGGGUAAAGAAGCACCGGCUAACUACGUG
RNAcentral lists this ribosomal RNA (468 nucleotides) under uncultured bacterium. RNAcentral describes it as "partial 16S ribosomal RNA". It matches the Rfam family "Bacterial small subunit ribosomal RNA", at positions 28 to 507 of the family's 1533-position model. The record is from RNAcentral.